Long non-coding RNA from Mauremys reevesii (Reeves's turtle), 629 nucleotides. RefSeq lists it as uncharacterized. The record is from RefSeq and is a predicted model, not a curated record. The transcript is spliced from 2 exons. Lineage: Eukaryota; Metazoa; Chordata; Testudines; Geoemydidae.
AGUCAUCCCCUCCAUUACUGCAGAAGGAGAAACUGAAACCCUUGCCAGGAAGCAUAGAAGCAGGGAUCAUGUCUUUCGCAGCAGCAUUGUUCCUUCCCUCGGAUUCUGCUAACGUCCCAGCUUUGGUCUAGGGCUCUAUUUGUGGAGGGUGGAUGGACUCCCACACCAGCUAUUCCAUGAAUCCACCCAAAAGGUCACAUUUAGCCCCUGUGUCUGGACUGCACAGUCAUUUUCAUUAACACAGCACCAGCUCUGGAUCUGGAUUUCUGUAACCACAUAUCUAGCAGCAGCAGCCAGUGCACACCUUUAUCAUAGCAAAAAGGGUUAUGGAAAUUCUAUGUGGCAAGACAGGCAAGUGAAAAAUCACUGUUCCCAUUUUCUCCUGUGAGACAACACCAGACAAAGGUCUUCUAGGACUGUUUUGCUCUACCGUCUGUAUUCAGAAGAAUACUGAAACUGCAGCUAGGUUUUGGUUCCCCUGGCUAUCAAAAAGAAAGAGAAAAUGUAACUGAUUCAGAAAUAGAGCUCUUCAAAAAGUUUUUGAUGGAAAAAAGUGUCCUUGAAACUGAAAUGUUUUGCAGAAUUCAUCCUGUGUAAAACAAAACAAAUAAAAAAAUGUUGGGAAGGUA